This 392-nucleotide transfer-messenger RNA is filed under the name bacterium. It matches the Rfam family "transfer-messenger RNA". From Rfam's summary of the family: Bacterial tmRNA, also known as 10Sa RNA or SsrA, is named for its dual tRNA and mRNA-like properties. Its role is to liberate the mRNA from a stalled ribosome. The record is from RNAcentral.
GGGGGCGAUUUGGAUUCGACGACGGUUACAAAACUUAGUGUGCAUGUCGUGAUGGUAGCCAAUCACGUUAAUCAAAAGCUGCAAUUUAUUAGUUGCCAAUGACGACAACUACGGUGCUCAACUGGCUGCGUAAGCAGUCAUAAUUGACACCAUCUAGUGGCUUCGGCCCUAGCGGUCUUUAACAAGGUGCCAGUACCGCGUUACUGACUGUCAUAUAGAACUGGAUCGCUGUGAAACCUGCCUGGGGUGGAUCUGCUAAACACUUAUCAGGAUCGCCAAACACGUCCUGCCCGUCGGGCUGUAUGCGGCUAAAUUAAUUGACGGAUUCUAAACAUGUAGAUCAUUAAGCAGCGGACUGGCGGACGCCGGUUCAAUUCCGGCCGCCUCCACCA